Molecule: ribosomal RNA, 876 nt
Filed under: uncultured Nitrososphaerota archaeon
Lineage: Archaea; Thermoproteati; Nitrososphaerota
Description: bacterial SSU rRNA
Rfam family: Archaeal small subunit ribosomal RNA
Source: RNAcentral
UUCCGGUUGAUCCUGCCGGACCUGACUGCUAUCGGAUUGAUACUAAGCCAUGCGAGUCAUUGUAGCAAUACAAGGCAUACGGCUCAGUAACGCGUAGUCAACCUACCCUAUGGACGGAAAUAACCUCGGGAAACUGAGAAUAAUAUCCGAUAGAACAUUAUGCCUGGAAUGGUUUAUGUUCCAAAUGAUUUAUCGCCGUAGGAUGGGACUGCGGCCUAUCAGUUUGUUGGUGAGGUAAUGGCCCACCAAGACUAUUACAGGUACGGGCUCUGAGAGGAGUAGCCCGGAGAUGGGUACUGAGACACGGACCCAGGCCCUAUGGGGCGCAGCAGGCGAGAAAACUUUGCAAUGUGCGAAAGCACGACAAGGUUAAUCCGAGUGAUUUCUGCUAAAGAAAUCUUUUGUUAGUCCUAGAAACACUAACGAAUAAGGGGUGGGCAAGUUCUGGUGUCAGCCGCCGCGGUAAAACCAGCACCUCAAGUGGUCAGGAUGAUUAUUGGGCCUAAAGCAUCCGUAGCCGGCUCUGUAAGUCCUCGGUUAAAUCUGUACGCUUAACGUACAGGCUGCCGGGAAUACUGCAUAGCUAGGGAGUGGGAGAGGUAGACGGUACUCAGUAGGAAGGGGUAAAAUCCUUUGAUCUAUUGAUGACCACCUGUGGCGAAGGCGGUCUACCAGAACACGUCCGACGGUGAGGGAUGAAAGCUGGGGGAGCAAACCGGAUUAGAUACCCGGGUAGUCCCAGCUGUAAACUAUGCAAACUCAGUGAUGCAUUGGCUUGUGGCCAAUGCAGUGCUGCAGGGAAGCCGUUAAGUUUGCCGCCUGGGAAGUACGUACGCAAGUAUGAAACUUAAAGGAAUUGGCGGGGGAGCACCACAA